ACACUUUUAGUGUAUUUUUUUUUCCCUUUUCAUGAGACAGAAUUAAUUCCUGUAGUCUCAGCCCUUCAGAAUCAUGGCAAUCUCAUUUGGGAAUGCCACAGUAAUGGCGAACAGCAGGAGUGCAUGGACACAGUGCCACCCUCCCAGGGACUGCUCCAACUUGUGGAGACUCUGUCAGGACAAGGGGGUUGAUCCAGGGGGAAGGUGGGAUCACCUGUCCCAAACAGCAUCCAAGCAAAAUGAAAAACAGGAAUUCAGAUGUGUUCCAGUAGAAAAAACUGGGAAAGAAGCUGUUUUCUAAGCAAGGCAAACAAAGCUUUGCUCUGUUCCUCAUCACUUAUGAGAGACAUUUAGUUGUUGCAGAUACUCAUAACUGUGAGCAAUUCCCAUUACUGUCAUUUUCUGGAGCCUGCACUGAUUUCCUCUCCUCUUAACAGAGAAAUAUCAGAAGUUCUUUUUGGCUUUAUGUUGAUCUCAUUGACAACAAGGUUCAGUUAAUUUGCUGCAGCAUCUGCAAGGCUAAAUGGAAAAGGAGAGAGAGAGCUUCAGCCUGCAAGGGCUGUGUUCUCUCCCAGCUUGUUGUGACUGACUGAUCUUUUUGGAAGCUUCUGGGUUCCUGGCACUGAGCUUCAAAGAUGUGCUGCUGCUGGGGAUUACAGCAUGGAUGGCACUGGGAUCUGCUAAUCCUUCAUCCCCACUGCAACCUCUGCUGUUCCUAUUCAAACAGCAUUUUGGAAAGGCCAUUGGUAAUUCCCUUGGAGGGGCUCCUGCAGCCUCAGACAUCUGACUGCCACUUGCCCUGCUCACCCAGACAACUGGCAAUCCAUUUGUUUUCAGUCUCCCUGGAACAAGCCUGGCCUUUUAUUUCCUAG
RNAcentral lists this long non-coding RNA (872 nucleotides) under Zonotrichia albicollis (white-throated sparrow). RNAcentral's name for it is "lncRNA (ENSZALG00000006090.1)". Lineage: Eukaryota; Metazoa; Chordata; Aves; Passeriformes; Passerellidae. The record is from RNAcentral.